AGUGGCGAACGGGUGAGUAAUACAUCGGAACGUGCCCAGUAGUGGGGAAUAGCUCGGCGAAAGCCGGAUUAAUACCGCAUACGACCUAUGGGUGAAAGCGGGGGAUCGCAAGACCUCGCGCUAUUGGAGCGGCCGAUGUCAGAUUAGGUUGUUGGUGGGGUAAAAGCCUACCAAGCCGACGAUCUGUAGCUGGUCUGAGAGGACGACCAGCCACGCUGGGACUGAGACACGGCCCAGACUCCUACGGGAGGCAGCAGUGGGGAAUUUUGGGCAAUGGGCGAAAGCCUGAUCCAGCCAUGCCGCGUGCGGGAAGAAGGCCUUCGGGUUGUAAACCGCUUUUGUCAGGGAAGAAAUCUUUCGAGCUAAUACCUUGAGAGGAUGACGGUACCUGAAGAAUAAGCACCGGCUAACUACGUGCCAGCAGCCGCGGUAAUACGUAGGGUGCAAGCGUUAAUCGGAAUUACUGGGCGUAAAGCGUGCGCAGGCGGUUGUGCAAGACAGGUGUGAAAUCCCCGGGCUUAACCUGGGAACUGCACUUGUGACUGCACAGCUGGAGUACGGCAGAGGGGGAUGGAAUUCCGCGUGUAGCAGUGAAAUGCGUAGAUAUGCGGAGGAACACCGAUGGCGAAGGCAGUCCCCUGGGCCUGUACUGACGCUCAUGCACGAAAGCGUGGGGGAGCAAACAGGAUUAGAUACCCUGGUAGUCCACGCCCU
Molecule: ribosomal RNA, 714 nt
Filed under: uncultured Comamonadaceae bacterium
Lineage: Bacteria; Pseudomonadati; Pseudomonadota; Betaproteobacteria; Burkholderiales; Comamonadaceae
Description: bacterial SSU rRNA
Rfam family: Bacterial small subunit ribosomal RNA
Source: RNAcentral